UACAGAGGGUGCAAGCGUUGUUCGGAAUUACUGGGCGUAAAGCGCGUGUAGGCGGUUUAAUAAGUCAGAUGUGAAAUCCCUUAGCAUAACUGAGGAACUGCAUCUGAUACUGUUAAACUUGAGUGUCGGAGGGGAUGGCGGAAUUCCUGGUGUAGAGGUGAAAUUCGUAGAUAUCAGGAGGAACACCUGUGGCGAAGGCGGCCAUCUGGAAGACAACUGACGCUGAGACGCGAAAGCGUGGGGAGCAAACAGG
This 253-nucleotide ribosomal RNA is filed under the name uncultured bacterium. RNAcentral's name for it is "partial 16S ribosomal RNA". It matches the Rfam family "Bacterial small subunit ribosomal RNA", at positions 524 to 776 of the family's 1533-position model. The record is from RNAcentral.